AUGGCAGCAGAGAAGGAAGGUCGUGGGGGCAGAGGAGGAUGGAUGCGCGUCGCCGUCGGUGGUCAAGGAGCAGGGCGUAAUAGAAAGGAUGAAGCACGAGGUGGCGGUGGCAGCACAAUUUGGGGAGUGAGCGGCGGUGGCGGUGUGACCGUGGAGUGCGGCGGCGGUUGUGGGGCGAUCUGGGGAGGGCGGUGGUGGCGGCGUGACCCGGUGAUGGUGGUGGCGGCCCGAUUUGGGGAGAGCGGCGACGACUGCUUCGGCUGGUUUGGCCGGUGUUCGGGACGGCAUCAGGGAAGAAGCUAG
This 303-nucleotide ribosomal RNA is filed under the name Triticum aestivum (bread wheat). Its description in RNAcentral is "partial small subunit ribosomal RNA". The record is from RNAcentral. Lineage: Eukaryota; Viridiplantae; Streptophyta; Magnoliopsida; Poales; Poaceae.